AUGCCGGCCAUGCAAGUGCCGGAGCAGAGCACCGGGCCCGUGAACCUGCUGAUGAGCCCCGGCCGGGCUUCGCCGCCGCCCACCUCCCCGCAGCCGCGCCACGGGAGGCUGGUCACCGUGCUGAGCAUCGACGACGGCGGCGUGCGCGGGAUCAUCCCCGGCACCAUCCUCGCUUUCCUCGAAAAAAAGCUUCAGGAGUUUGAUGGGUCGGACGUGAGGAUCGCGGAUACUUCGAUGUGGUCGCCGGAACGAGCACCGGAGGCCUGGUCGCCGCCAUGCUCACCGCGCCCAAUGCCGAGGGCCGCCCACUCUUCGCCGCCAAGGACAUCAACAAGUUCUACCUCGAGCACUGCCCGAAUACCUUCCCUGCCGUCUGCAAAGGACCUCUGGGCUUGUUCAAGAGCAUGAUGGGACCCAAGUACAACGGCCAGCACUUGCACUCAAUCCUGAAGGAGCUGCUCGGCGACACGCGAGUCAGUCAGACACUCAAGAGCAUCGUCGUCAUCCCCACUUUCGACAUCAAGCUCCUUCAGCCAACGAUAUGCAUCUAUAUACAUGCCAGGUGGGAUGUCUCCAAGGAUGCUCUUCUAUCGGACGUCUGCAUCAGUACGUCUGCCGCGCCGACCUACCUUCCCGGGCACCAUUUCGAGACCAAGGACAAAAACGGUAAGACCCGGGCCUUCAACCUCAUCGACGGGGGCGUCGCCGCUAACAAUCCGACCCUUGUGGCCAUGACCCACGUAAGCAAGCAGAUCCUAAUGAAAAACCGACACUUUUUCCCUGUCAAGCCGGCGGAGUACGGCAAGUUCAUGGUCCUUUCGUUGGGCACUGGCACCGCCAAGGUCGAAGAGAAGUUCGACGCUGCCAAGUGCAGCAAGUGGGGCCUUCUCGGAUGGCUCUACAAAGGGGGCACCACGCCGAUCAUAGACAGCUUCAGCCAAGCCAGCGCCGAUCUCGUCGAUAUCCAGGCAUUCGUGCUCUUCCAGGCGCUACACUACGACUACGAUAGGCGCUACCUCCGGAUCCAGGACGAUGAGCUCACGGGCGAAACGGCCUCCGUCGACGUGUCCACGACGGAGAACCUCAAAAGGCUCAUCGAUGUCGGCAAGGCAUUGUUAAAGAGGCAGGUGUGCAAGGUGAACAUCGACACGGGCAAGAACGAGCCCGACCUAGAGAGGGGCACUAACGAGGAGGAACUGACCCAUUUCGCCCGCGUGUUGUCGGAAGAGCGCAAAGCCAGAUCGACUUGCGGAGGUGGUUUUGAAACUUAG
This 1271-nucleotide ribosomal RNA is filed under the name Triticum aestivum (bread wheat). Its description in RNAcentral is "partial small subunit ribosomal RNA". Lineage: Eukaryota; Viridiplantae; Streptophyta; Magnoliopsida; Poales; Poaceae. The record is from RNAcentral.